This 643-nucleotide ribosomal RNA is filed under the name uncultured bacterium. Its description in RNAcentral is "bacterial SSU rRNA". It matches the Rfam family "Bacterial small subunit ribosomal RNA", at positions 31 to 664 of the family's 1533-position model. The record is from RNAcentral.
AAACGCUGGCGGCGUGUCUUAAGCAUGCAAGUCGAGCGGCAGGCGCAGCAAUGCGCUGAGAGCGGCGGACUGGUGAGUAACGCGCGGGUAAUCUACCUUUGGCAUGGGGAUAGCCACUAGAAAUAGUGGGUAAUACCGAAUACGUUCCCUGGGGGGAGGUUUCAGGGAAGAAAGGGUGCUACGGCACCGGCCAAAGAUGAGCUCGCGUCCCAUUAGCUAGUUGGUGAGGUAACGGCUCACCAAGGCGAUGAUGGGUAGCCGGCCUGAGAGGGUGUACGGCCACACUGGGACUGAGAUACGGCCCAGACUCCUACGGGAGGCAGCAGCUAAGAAUAUUCCGCAAUGGACGAAAGUCUGACGGAGCGACGCCGCGUGGAUGAUGAAGGCCGAAAGGUUGUAAAGUCCUUUUGCUGGGGAAGAAUAAGUGUGGGAGGGAAUGCCCGCAUGAUGACAUGAACCGGCGAAUAAGCCCCGGCCAACUACGUGCCAGCAGCCGCGGUAACACGUAGGGGGCGAGCGUUGUUCGGAAUUACUGGGCGUAAAGGGCAUGUAGGCGGUCUGGUAAGCCUGGCGUGAAAGGCCACAGCUCAACUGUGGGAUUGCGUUGGGAACUGCUGGGCUUGAGUUAUGGAGAGGGAGCUAG